AUUGUAUUUAUUGUUUCAUUUUAGCUUCUAUUUUUAAAAAUAUUUUUUUUAUUUAUUUGAGAGAGAGAGAGUGAGCAUGAGCAGGGGGAGGAACAAAGGGAGAGGGAGAAGCAGACCCCUUGCUGAGCAGAGCACCCCACAUGGGGCUCCAUCCCAGGACCCUGAGAUCAUGACCUGAGCUGAAAGCAGACACUCAACUGAUUGAAUCAACCUCGCGCCCCUUAGCUUCUAUUGUUAAACAUGGUUUUAGCUAGCUAUUGUAAAAUAAUGCCACUUAAAAAAGCCUCCAUAGCACAGAAGAUAAGCAUUUACUUCUGGCAUAUUAAAUUGUGGGUCAGUGGUCAUGGCUUUGCCUUAGGGUUGGUGCUAGGGCAAGCCACCUUCCUAAAGCUUAUUUUUGGCUAUAGUAGAGUUUGCAAGAGUGUAAACCCCAUAUAUAAACACUUUUAAAACACUGCUCACUUCACAUUUAUUGAUUUUACAUUGGCCAAAACAUGUCCUGUAGCCAGAUACGAUGUCCAGGACAGAGCACCUGACAAGGUGCACAGGACAUGAGGCUCAGACCACCUGUUCACCAGCUCACCUGAGCACCUAGUGUCCUCUUGCCUUUUUGUCCUAUGGUCCUACCAUUGCUAUGUCUCGCAAUUAUGGAAUGAAUGAUACUUUGUUGUAUAAACCCUUGUCAAGAUUUUCUCUCUCCAGAGUGGGUCAAUUCUCUACUCCACAUCCCAUCAGGACUGACACCAGCCUGGGACUCAGGGGCACAUGGUCAGGCUUCCGUUGGUAUUUCUGCAGCUGGAAAGUUUGCAAUGUCUCAAACUCUUCCAAAAGUUUGAAGAAGAAGGAACACUUCUUAUGUCACUGUUGAGGCCAGCAUGAUCCCGACACCAAAGUCAGACGAAGAUACUGCAAGAGGAGAAAACCACAGACCAAUAUAUCCUUUAUGAAUGUAGAUGGAAAAAUACUCAGCUUAUUAGCAAUCUGAUUUCAGCAACAUAUCAGAAAGAUUAUCUACCAUGACCAAAUGGGAUUUGUCCCAGAGAUAUAAGGGUGGCUUAAGAGAUAAAACACAAUUAUUAUAUUCCUCAAAAAAUUAAAAUAGAAAUACCAUAUGACCCAGUAAUUCUACUGAAAUUCCAGUGAGUAUUUACUCAGGGAAACUGGAAACAGGAAUUCAAAAAGAUCCCUGCACCCCUGUGUUCAUUGCAGCAUUACUGACAAUGGCUAAGGUGUGGAAGCAGCCCAAGUGUCCAUCGACAGACGAAUGGAUAAAGAAGAUGAUGUUUUUAUAUGAUGAAACAUUACACAGGUAUUAAAAAAUUAAACCUUGCCAUCCAUGAC
RNAcentral lists this long non-coding RNA (1341 nucleotides) under Canis lupus familiaris (dog). RNAcentral describes it as "lncRNA (ENSCAFG00845028838.1)". The record is from RNAcentral. Lineage: Eukaryota; Metazoa; Chordata; Mammalia; Carnivora; Canidae.